RNAcentral lists this ribosomal RNA (497 nucleotides) under uncultured bacterium. RNAcentral describes it as "partial 16S ribosomal RNA". It matches the Rfam family "Bacterial small subunit ribosomal RNA", at positions 28 to 507 of the family's 1533-position model. The record is from RNAcentral.
GAUGAACGCUGGCGGCGUGCCUAAUACAUGCAAGUCGAGCGAACGGACGAGAAGCUUGCUUCUCUGAUGUUAGCGGCGGACGUGUGAGUAACACGUGUAUAACCUACCUAUAAUACUGGUAUAACUUCGAGAAACCGGAGCUAAUACCGUAUGAUAUUUUGAACCGCAUUGUUCAAAAGUGAAAUACGGUCUUUCUGUCACUUAUAGAUGGAUCCGCGCUGCAUUAGCUAGUUGUUAAGUUAACGGCUUAUCAAGGCAACGAGGCAUAGCCGACCUGAGAGAGUGAUAGCCGACCUUGGAACUGAGACAGCGUCAAGACUACUAAGGGAGGGCGCAGAAGGGAACCUUACGCAAUGGGGGAAAGCCUGACGGAGCAACGCGGCGUGAGUUAUGAAGGUCUUCGGAUCGUAAAACUCUGUUAUUAGGGAAGAACAUAUGUGUAAGUAAAUGUGCACAUAUUGACGGUACCUAAUCAGAAAGCCACGGCUAACUACGUG